This 509-nucleotide ribosomal RNA is filed under the name uncultured bacterium. Its description in RNAcentral is "bacterial SSU rRNA". It matches the Rfam family "Bacterial small subunit ribosomal RNA", at positions 40 to 518 of the family's 1533-position model. The record is from RNAcentral.
CGGCGCACAUAAGACAUGCAAGUCGAACGGAAGUCGUUAUAAUUGAUUCUGAAUGAAAGAUUAUCCGGAAUGAUGAUGAUUUAUAACAAUGGCUUAGUGGCGGACUGGUGAGUAACGCGUAAGCAAUCUGCCUAUCAAGAGGGGGAAUAACAGUGAGAAAUCAUUGCUAAUACCGCAUAUGCCAUGAGUAUCGCAUGAUACAAUUGGGAAAGGAGUAAUCCGCUGAUAGAUGAGCUUGCGUCUGAUUAACUUGUUGGUGGGGUAACGGCCUACCAAGGUGACGAUCAGUAGCCGGACUGAGAGGUUGAACGGCCACAUUGGGACUGAGAUACGGCCCAGACUCCUACGGGAGGCAGCAGUCGGGAAUAUUGCGCAAUGGAGGAAAAACCUCUGACGCAGUGACGCCGCGUAUAGGAUGAAGGUUUUCGGAUUGUAAACUAUUGUCGUUAGGGAAGAUUUAAGACAGUACCUAAGGAGGAAGCUCCGGCUAACUACGUGCCAGCCGCGGC